GCUGGGUAUGGUGGCACAUGCCUGUAGUCCCAGCUACUCCAGUGGCUGAGGCAGAAAGAAUGCUUAAACCCUGGAGUUCUGAGCUGUAGUGUGCUAUGCUGAUAAGUGUCUGCACUAAGUUUGGCAUCAAUAUGGUGACCUCACAGGAGCAGGGGACUACCAGGUUGCCUAAAGAAGGAUGAACUGGACAUGUCGUAAACAAAGCAGGUCAAAACUACUUUGCUGAUCAGUAGUAGGAUCAUGCCUAUGAGUAGCCACUGCACUCCAGCCUGGGCAACAUAGAAAGACCCCAUCUCUU
Non-coding RNA from Gorilla gorilla gorilla (western lowland gorilla), 298 nucleotides. It matches the Rfam family "Metazoan signal recognition particle RNA". Rfam says of the family: The signal recognition particle (SRP) is a universally conserved ribonucleoprotein. It is involved in the co-translational targeting of proteins to membranes. The record is from Rfam. NCBI's taxonomy places the organism in Eukaryota, Metazoa, Chordata, Mammalia, Primates, Hominidae.